RNAcentral lists this ribosomal RNA (401 nucleotides) under uncultured bacterium. RNAcentral describes it as "bacterial SSU rRNA". It matches the Rfam family "Bacterial small subunit ribosomal RNA", at positions 356 to 773 of the family's 1533-position model. The record is from RNAcentral.
GAGGAAUAUUGCACAACGGGCGCAAGCCUGAUGCAGCAACGCCGCGUGAGGGACGAAGGCCUUCGGGUUGUAAACCUCUUUUCUGAGGGACGAGCAAGGACGGUACCUCAAGAAUAAGUCUCGGCUAACUACGUGCCAGCAGCCGCGGUAAAACGUAGGAGGCGAGCGUUAUCCGGAUUUACUGGGCGUAAAGCGCACGCAGGUGGCAGUGCAGGUCGGACAUGAAAGCUCCUGGCUUAACUGGGAGAGGUGGUUCGAAACCGCACGGCUUGAGGUUGGGAGAGGGACGUGGAAUUCCCGGUGUAGUGGUGGAAUGCGUAGAUAUCGGGAGGAACACCAGUGGCGCAAGCGGCGUCCUGGCCCACACCUGACGCUGAGGUGCGAAAGCGUGGGGAGCAAAC